AGAACGAACGCUGGCGGCAUGCCUAACACAUGCAAGUCGAACGAGACCUUCGGGUCUAGUGGCGCACGGGUGCGUAACGCGUGGGAAUCUGCCCUUGGGUUCGGAAUAACAGCGAGAAAUUGCUGCUAAUACCGGAUGAUGACGUAAGCCCAAAGAUUUAUCGCCCAAGGAUGAGCCCGCGUAGGAUUAGCUUGUUGGUGAGGUAAGAGCUCACCAAGGCGACGAUCCUUAGCUGGUCUGAGAGGAUGAUCAGCCGUACACUGGGACUGGACGACCGACGGCCCAGACCUCCGUAACGGGAGGCCAGCGUAGGUGGGGUAAUAGUUGGAACAAGUGGGACGAAAGGCCUAGACUCC
Molecule: ribosomal RNA, 356 nt
Filed under: uncultured soil bacterium
Lineage: Bacteria
Description: bacterial SSU rRNA
Rfam family: Bacterial small subunit ribosomal RNA
Source: RNAcentral